CUUAACGGAGUUUUUUAAAGUAUGUUUUUGUACCGAAAGGUUUUGAUCUUAGAUUUAGUUGUUUAGAAGUGUUGUUUGGUCUGGGUUUGGUCUUGUAAACUAAAUUUAUGUGGUGAUAUGUGAGUUGUAAAGCUUAAUAACUGUUUGGUUGUUUAGAAUUGGGUGGGAUGUAGGUGGCUAGUAGGUCAUUUUUAUUUUUAUACAUUUUUGAUGUGUGGUUUUUGGUAAGGUUAGAGGUACCUAGUUUUUGUUAUUUUGUUGUAAAUAGGGUUUUGUUGGUUUUUUGGUAUGUUAAUUGUUUGAACAACUGUUUUCCUAUAUUUUGUUAUUAUAUUAUCGUUGAAUAAGUAAUUUUAUUAUGCUAUUUAUUUCUUGAGUUCUUUCCGUUUGUUUAUUAAAAACAUUUAUAAUUUUAAUUGUAGUUAGUAGUGCCUGCCCAAUGUUGGUUAAUUAAUGGCCGCAGUAUAUUGACUGUGCAAAGGUAGCAUAAUUAAUUGCCAUUUAAUUGGAGGCUUGUUUGAAUGGUUUGACGUGAUUGGUAUGAAUAUUUGGUAUUUAGUUGAAAUUUGUUUUGAGGGUUUAGAAUCCUUAAUGUUUAAUAAGACGGAAAGACCCUAGGAUCUUUUGUUUUUGUUUGGGGCAAAUAUUGUUGUUUUAUGAAUAUUGUGACCCU
This 673-nucleotide ribosomal RNA is filed under the name Echinococcus granulosus. RNAcentral describes it as "partial 16S ribosomal RNA". Lineage: Eukaryota; Metazoa; Platyhelminthes; Cestoda; Cyclophyllidea; Taeniidae. The record is from RNAcentral.